Molecule: long non-coding RNA, 557 nt
Filed under: Phasianus colchicus (ring-necked pheasant)
Lineage: Eukaryota; Metazoa; Chordata; Aves; Galliformes; Phasianidae
Description: lncRNA (ENSPCLG00000009853.1)
Source: RNAcentral
CCUGUUGCCUCUAGCCAGAAGCCUCUCUUUGUGGGCAGAGUGAGUCUUGUUUCUUGUCAUUCACCACAACAGUUGUGCAAAAUCAACGCCAGCACCAGGGCCUCACAUCUCUCACCUGGUGGGAAUCUUUAAAUCUGCUCCACAUCCCUGCUGUUUUAACCUGGUCAGAAAAAAACCAAGGGGUUUUGUGCCACAUGAUUUGAGGACUGAAGGACAGAUGAAGAAUGUGCUAGUCAAAAUUUCAGCGCUUCAUAGCGAGGUAACGUCAUCUGCGUGGCUCUGUAGAGAUCCCAGGUUCACCAGCAGGUCUCACAGGUGUAACAAACAUAGAUCCUCUGAAGAUACACCACUGUCACAAGAGGAACACUAAUGUACAGUCUGCAUGCCGUGCUGUUUGUGGGCACCAGUUGGAAUGGCCCACUGCGUUCUGCUAGAAUGGAUUGCAUUCUGCAUUUCUGUUCUGUUUUCUAUUAUGUUGGUUUUAUUGAGAAAGUAAACCUUGUAACCUGAUUGUUGACAGAAAUAAAAUGUGAUUUCUCUUCUGAAAGACCUAAGUA